UAAUACGUAGGGUGCAAGCGUUGUCCGGAAUUAUUGGGCGUAAAGAGCUCGUAGGCGGUUUGUCGCGUCUGCUGUGAAAAUCCGAGGCUCAACCCCCGGACCUGCAGUGGGUACGGGCAGACUAGAGUGCGGUAGGGGAGAAGGGAAUUCCUGGUGUAGCGGUGGAAUGCGCAGAUAUCAGGAGGAACACCAAUGGCGAAGGCACUUCUCUGGGCCGUAACUGACGCUGAGGAGCGAAAGCGUGGGGAGCGAAACAGGAUUAGAUACCCUGGUAGUCCACGCCGUAAACGGUGGGUGCUAGUUGUGGGUCACAUUCCACGUGAUCCGUGACGCAGCUAACGCAUUAAGCACCCCGCCUGGGGAGUACGGUCGCAAGACUAAAACUCAAAGGAAUUGACGGGGGCCCGCACAAGCAGCGGAGCAUGCGGAUUAAUUCGAUGCAACGCGAAGAA
RNAcentral lists this ribosomal RNA (452 nucleotides) under uncultured Microcella sp. Its description in RNAcentral is "bacterial SSU rRNA". It matches the Rfam family "Bacterial small subunit ribosomal RNA", at positions 521 to 968 of the family's 1533-position model. The record is from RNAcentral. Lineage: Bacteria; Bacillati; Actinomycetota; Actinomycetes; Micrococcales; Microbacteriaceae.